This 643-nucleotide ribosomal RNA is filed under the name uncultured bacterium. Its description in RNAcentral is "bacterial SSU rRNA". It matches the Rfam family "Bacterial small subunit ribosomal RNA", at positions 232 to 885 of the family's 1533-position model. The record is from RNAcentral.
CGCGGCCUAUCAGCUUGUUGGUGGGGUAGUGGCUUACCAGGGCUUUGACGGGUAGCCGGCCUGAGAGGGUGACCGGCCACAUUGGGACUGAGAUACGGCCCAGACUCCUACGGGAGGCAGCAGUGGGGAAUAUUGCACAAUGGGCGGAAGCCUGAUGCAGCAACGCCGCGUGCGGGAUGACGGCCUUCGGGUUGUAAACCGCUUUCGCCUGUGACGAAGCGUGAGUGACGGUAAUGGGUAAAGAAGCACCGGCUAACUACGUGCCAGCAGCCGCGGUGAUACGUAGGGUGCGAGCGUUGUCCGGAUUUAUUGGGCGUAAAGGGCUCGUAGGUGGUUGAUCGCGUCGGAAGUGUAAUCUUGGGGCUUAACCCUGAGCGUGCUUUCGAUACGGGUUGACUUGAGGAAGGUAGGGGAGAAUGGAAUUCCUGGUGGAGCGGUGGAAUGCGCAGAUAUCAGGAGGAACACCAGUGGCGAAGGCGGUUCUCUGGGCCUUUCCUGACGCUGAGGAGCGAAAGCGUGGGGAGCGAACAGGCUUAGAUACCCUGGUAGUCCACGCUGUAAACGGUGGGUACUAGGUGUGGGGUCCAUUCCACGGGUUCCGUGCCGUAGCUAACGCUUUAAGUACCCCGCCUGGGGAGUACGG